RNAcentral lists this ribosomal RNA (497 nucleotides) under uncultured bacterium. RNAcentral describes it as "partial 16S ribosomal RNA". It matches the Rfam family "Bacterial small subunit ribosomal RNA", at positions 28 to 507 of the family's 1533-position model. The record is from RNAcentral.
GAUGAACGCUGGCGGCGUGCCUAAUACAUGCAAGUCGAGCGAACGGACGAGACGCUUGCUUCUCUGAUGUUAGCGGCGGGCGGGUGAGUCAUACGUGGAUAACCUCCCUAUAUGGCAGGAGUAUCUUAGGGAAACCGGAGUUAUGACGGGUACCAUUUUUGAACCGGUUGGUUGAAAAGAUAAGGACGGUUUUGCGGUGAGUUCUAGGUGUAUCCGCGCUGCAUUAGCUAGUUGGCAUGGUAACGGCUUGCCAAGGACACGAUGCAUAGCCGACGUGAGAGGGUGAUCGGCCACACUGGAACUGAGACAAGGUCCAGACUCCUACGGGAGGCAGCAGUAGGGAAUCUGCCGCAAUGGGCGAUAGCCUGACGUAGCAACGCCGCGUGAGUGAUGAAGGUCUGCGGAUCGUGAAACUCUGUUAUUAGGGAAGAACAUAUGUCUAAGUAACUGUGCACAUCUUGACGGUACCUAAUCAAAAAGCCACGGCUAACUACGUG